AAUUCUGACUCGGGGUGCCUGCUACAAAUCGUGGUAUGGCUGAGAUAUUACCCGUAUUACCUGAUCUGGAUUAUGCCAGCGUAGGGAAGUGUAUUAAUGAAGCG
RNAcentral lists this non-coding RNA (104 nucleotides) under Yersinia enterocolitica subsp. enterocolitica 8081. Its description in RNAcentral is "TPP riboswitch (THI element) (RF00059) as predicted by Rfam". It matches the Rfam family "TPP riboswitch aptamer (THI element)". Rfam says of the family: Vitamin B(1) in its active form thiamin pyrophosphate (TPP) is an essential coenzyme that is synthesised by coupling of pyrimidine and thiazole moieties in bacteria. The previously detected thiamin-regulatory element, thi box was extended, resulting in a new, highly conserved RNA secondary structure, the THI element, which is widely distributed in eubacteria and also occurs in some archaea. Lineage: Bacteria; Pseudomonadati; Pseudomonadota; Gammaproteobacteria; Enterobacterales; Yersiniaceae. The record is from RNAcentral. RNAcentral also lists the same sequence under 1 other name.